RNAcentral lists this ribosomal RNA (253 nucleotides) under uncultured prokaryote. RNAcentral describes it as "partial 16S ribosomal RNA". It matches the Rfam family "Bacterial small subunit ribosomal RNA", at positions 524 to 776 of the family's 1533-position model. The record is from RNAcentral.
UACGAGUACCCCAAGCGUUAUCCGGAAUCAUUGGGCGUAAAGGGUGUGUAGGUGGUCUAAUUAGUCUUCUGUUAAAACUUCGGGCUCAACCCGAAAUCUGCAGAGGAAACGGCUAGACUCGAGGGUGCGAGAGGUGAAUGGAACUCAUGGAGUAGGGGUGAAAUCCGUUGAUAUCAUGGGGAACACCAAAAGCGAAGGCAAUUCACUGGCGCAUUUCUGACACUGAAACACGAAAGCGUGGGUAGCGAACGGG